RNAcentral lists this ribosomal RNA (420 nucleotides) under Staphylococcus aureus. RNAcentral describes it as "partial 23S ribosomal RNA". It matches the Rfam family "Bacterial large subunit ribosomal RNA", at positions 2009 to 2428 of the family's 2925-position model. The record is from RNAcentral. Lineage: Bacteria; Bacillati; Bacillota; Bacilli; Caryophanales; Staphylococcaceae.
UUGGGCACUGUCUCAACGAGAGACUCGGUGAAAUCAUAGUACCUGUGAAGAUGCAGGUUACCCGCGACAGGACGGAAAGACCCCGUGGAGCUUUACUGUAGCCUGAUAUUGAAAUUCGGCACAGCUUGUACAGGAUAGGUAGGAGCCUUUGAAACGUGAGCGCUAGCUUACGUGGAGGCGCUGGUGGGAUACUACCCUAGCUGUGUUGGCUUUCUAACCCGCACCACUUAUCGUGGUGGGAGACAGUGUCAGGCGGGCAGUUUGACUGGGGCGGUCGCCUCCUAAAAGGUAACGGAGGCGCUCAAAGGUUCCCUCAGAAUGGUUGGAAAUCAUUCAUAGAGUGUAAAGGCAUAAGGGAGCUUGACUGCGAGACCUACAAGUCGAGCAGGGUCGAAAGACGGACUUAGUGAUCCGGUGGUU